GAAAACCAGGCAGGUGAGGAGGACGAGAUAAGAGGAGGGAAACAGAGCAGAAGACACACAGAAAACACAAAGCUGCAUGAGAGGAUCAUGACUUAACACGAUGUUAAACACAUGUCUGAACGGAUAACGUCUCCAAAGUGAAGACUUCCGCGGACUUUUUGCUGAGUCGCUACACAAUGACACUACAAUAAUGUGAGCGGUCGGUGUCGGUGAUGAUGUUCCAGGAGCAACGGUGACAUGAAGAUAUCGGAUCAUUCGGCAGUUGGACUGAUCUCCAUCCAUGAUCGUGGUCACUCAAACAGGCUUUUGGAAACUUCAAGUGCUCAUUACUGGGUCUCUGGUAGGAUAGUGGAUUCACUACGCCUAUCAGCCAACAAUGAAAUUUCAUUUCAGGAAUGUUUGAAUGUUUUGCCAUGCUUCUCCACUCCGCAACCAGUUAUUACAAGCAGUGGCGGUUGUUUUUCCACCAAGAAAAUGAUGGUGUGUAAAUGAGGAACUGUGAUGAAAAUAUAAAAGCAUCCCAGAGUCUGACCUUUACAGACUUUUCCUGAUGGCAUCAAGUACUAUUUAAGAUUCACCCGAAAGAGAAGUAAAUACUUCUUGUCUGAUAAUUCUACCCCAAAAGAUGUUAAACUUUAAGACUUUUUUUGUAAUUUUUUUUUCACUUACCGAUUCCAUAAUCGGAGGUUAAAUGCUCUCUUUUGAAAUCAUGUUUUCUGCGAAUACCACGUUUAUCAGCAGACUUCAGAUUUAACCGCAUUCCACACCAAACUCCCCAAAUUUCAUUGUAAAAACUGAGACGUAUGCUACUUCUCUGCUAAGCUUGUUACCAAAAGCAGACACCUAAAUUUUGGCAAUUUUUUUUUGUGCAUAUUAAAAACAAAUACAAUGAAAUGAGCAAAGUUCUGCCACCUUGUUUUAUUCAGUUAACAGUUCAAUAUGGAGAAAAGUUUGCUUCAAUGUCUUAGUUUUACUUUUUAUGUAUGAAUAUAUUACACUAUAAUGGAAAAAAAAACACCAAAUAAUAAUCUUAGAAACUUCUGUUACUUC
Molecule: long non-coding RNA, 1050 nt
Organism: Acanthopagrus latus (yellowfin seabream)
Lineage: Eukaryota; Metazoa; Chordata; Actinopteri; Spariformes; Sparidae
Exons: 3
Source: RefSeq, a predicted model, not a curated record